Molecule: ribosomal RNA, 786 nt
Filed under: Pineapple proliferation phytoplasma
Lineage: Bacteria; Bacillati; Mycoplasmatota; Mollicutes; Acholeplasmatales; Acholeplasmataceae
Description: bacterial SSU rRNA
Rfam family: Bacterial small subunit ribosomal RNA
Source: RNAcentral
CGACUGCUAAAGAGGUAUGCUUAGGGAAGAGCUUGCGCUCACAUUAGCUAGUUUGGUGGGGUAAAGGCCUACCAAGACUAUGAUGUGUAGCCGGACUGAGAGGUUGAACGGCCACAUUGGGACUGAGACACGGCCCAAACUCCUACGGGAGGCAGCAGUAAGGAAUUUUCGGCAAUGGAGGAAACUCUGACCGAGCAACGCCGCGUGAACGAUGAAGUAUUUCGGUACGUAAAGUUCUUUUAUUAGGGAAGAAAAGAUGGUGGAAAAACCAUUAUGACGGUACCUAAUGAAUAAGCCCCGGCUAACUAUGUGCCAGCAGCCGCGGUAAUACAUAGGGGGCAAGCGUUAUCCGGAAUUAUUGGGCGUAAAGGGUGCGUAGGCGGUUAAAUAAGUUUAUGGUCUAAGUGCAAUGCUUAACGUUGUGAUGCUAUAAAAACUGUUUAGCUAGAGUUGGAUAGAGGCAAGUGGAAUUCCAUGUGUAGUGGUAAAAUGCGUAAAUAUAUGGAGGAACACCAGAAGCGAAGGCGGCUUGCUGGGUCUUAACUGACGCUGAGGCACGAAAGCGUGGGGAGCAAACAGGAUUAGAUACCCUGGUAGUCCACGCCCUAAACGAUGAGUACUAAACAUUGGGUAAAACCAGUGUUGAAGUUAACACAUUAAGUACUCCGCCUGAGUAGUACGUACGCAAGUAUGAAACUUAAAGGAAUUGNCGGGACUCCGCACAAGCGGGGGAUCAUGUUGUUUAAUUCGAAGGUACCCGAAAAACCUCACCAGGUCUUGACAUGC